GGCCUUGCCUCUUGGCAAAAAACAUAACGUCAGAAAGGAGCUGGUAGGAACGCCCGUUGUAUGGGCUACCGAACGCCCCGAAUAAGAAAAGCAAAGCA
This 98-nucleotide non-coding RNA is filed under the name unclassified sequences. Its description in RNAcentral is "RT-17 RNA". It matches the Rfam family "RT-17 RNA". Rfam says of the family: Bacteroidales (Bacteroidetes), Clostridiales (Firmicutes). Nearby to self- splicing intron genes The record is from Rfam by way of RNAcentral.